UAGCUCUAAAUCACAGCCUUCUCCACCCGAUAGACCAAUACAUCAUUCACAGCAGUAAGGCUGCAGUCUGUCUGGAUUUCUCACUUACCUUGAGCUCUGUUAAGUGCAGCAGAAUGCGUCUUCGUCCCCUCUACAGACUCCUGAGGCAUUACAUGGUUGCUUUCUGCAAGUGUAGGUCCGGAAAACUUCAGUGUGUAGAUGCGAGGUUUGAAACUGACUGACUGACUGGAUGUGCAACAAACUGUGUUCUUAUGCUGUGGUGAACGGAGCAUAGAACAUGGAACAUGGAACAUGGAGACAUCAUGAUGUAACGUCUCUAUGGUUACAGUGACGGUACAAUAUGCAAAUGAGCCUUUAGAGUAAAUGUGUGUGUGUGGACGGUGUAUUUGUAUUGAUAGAGCUCAUCCACUUGACAUGGUGCAUAAAACACUUUGCUCUACUUGUUUUUUUCUAUGACCCCAUCUUGAUCUUGAUAGCAAACACUUUAAGAAUAAAUAAAGAACGAUUUUUGUCCAUUGUUUCAUCAAGUCGGAAAUUUGUAAACUGUUGAAUCCGGAUUUUUAAACAUCCCUUUUAAGCCCUCUUGUCUCCAGCCUUCAUGCUAAGCUAACCAGCGGCUGGCUUUAGCUUCACGUUGAGCGCGCAUGAGAGUAGGGAUGAGUAUCGUUUGGGUUUUUCCGAUACCGAUCCUAAACAGAGCCUGAACCCAAACACAAUUGAAGAAAAGUUUUUUUUCACUUCAAACUAUGCACAACAUAUGAACUUUUGAAAGUUUACAGUAUGAUUACAGUGUUUCCCCUCUGUAACAGCGGAAGUGUAGUUAAUUGGAAUUUGGGGAAUAUUAAUAAUUUAAUUUGAGAUUCAUGUUCAUUGUGCAGGAACUAAAGACAUUUAUUGAAAAGCAUUUACGUUAGAUUGACGCUCCUUGUUUGUCUCAAAGUAUUGACGUGCAACACAGAAGAGCUGCAGGAGGCACGAGAGCACAUCGCUUUUCUAUUGUGUAGAAAAAUACAUACGAAUAGAAGGUAGAUGGCUAGCUAGCUGCUGUAGCUACACAAGCGGUGAGCUAUCGUUAGCUGCUGCGAGGACAGAGUUAUCAGACUGUUUAAUUAGGGUGACCAAGCGUCCUCUUUUCCCCGGACAUGUCCUCUUUUUGAGACCUUAAAAAUGCGUCCGGCAGAGAUUCCAAAAACGUCCGGGAUUUUGCUUCGUCGUAUAUUUGUGUUUCUCUGGGUCUUUCACAAACUAGUUAUUACGCCCUUACCAGUUUUGGAAAUGGUGUCUCGCUUACGUUCCACCUUCUUUCGCGAGCUCUGACUGUAGAGAAAACAGUCAUUGGUCGACCGAUCUCAAUGUUGCCA
Long non-coding RNA from Gasterosteus aculeatus aculeatus (three-spined stickleback), 1361 nucleotides. NCBI's taxonomy places the organism in Eukaryota, Metazoa, Chordata, Actinopteri, Perciformes, Gasterosteidae. The record is from Ensembl.